RNAcentral lists this ribosomal RNA (389 nucleotides) under Chytridiomycetes sp. RNAcentral describes it as "partial small subunit ribosomal RNA". It matches the Rfam family "Eukaryotic small subunit ribosomal RNA", at positions 582 to 975 of the family's 1831-position model. Lineage: Eukaryota; Fungi; Chytridiomycota; Chytridiomycetes. The record is from RNAcentral.
AUUCCAGCUCCAAUAGCGUAUAUUAAAGUUGUUGCAGUUAAAAAGCUCGUAGUUGAAUUUUUGACGUGGCUGGGUGGUCUCGCCGCAAGGUGGGCACUGCUCCGGUCGCGUCUUUCCUUCUGGGGAACCAAGGUGUCCUUUACUGGGUGCUUUGGGGAUCCAGGACUUUUACUUUGAAAAAAUUAGAGUGUUUAAAGCAGGCUUACGCUUGAAUACAUUAGCAUGGAAUAAUAGAAUAGGACUUUGGUUCUAUUUUGUUGGUUUCUAGGACCGAGGUAAUGAUUAAUAGGGAUAGUUGGGGGCAUUAGUAUUUAAUUGUCAGAGGUGAGAUUCUUGGAUUUAUGAAAGACUAACUUCUGCGAAAGCAUUUGCCAAGGAUGUUUUCAUCA